Molecule: transfer RNA, 73 nt
Filed under: Strongylocentrotus purpuratus (purple sea urchin)
Lineage: Eukaryota; Metazoa; Echinodermata; Echinoidea; Camarodonta; Strongylocentrotidae
Rfam family: tRNA
About the family: Transfer RNA (tRNA) molecules are approximately 80 nucleotides in length. Their secondary structure includes four short double-helical elements and three loops (D, anti-codon, and T loops).
Source: Rfam by way of RNAcentral
GGAGUGUUGGCUCAGUCAGUAGAGCGGCCGCCUCACAACCGGGAGGUCGUGGGUUCGAACCCCGGCCGCGUCA